CAGUAGCCGCGGUAAUACGGAGGUCCCGAGCGUUGUUCGGAUUCACUGGGCGUAAAGGGUGCGUAGGCGGAUAGAUAAGUCAGUGGUGAAAGACGGUGGCUCAACCAUCGCAGUGCCGUUGAUACUGUUUAUCUUGAAUAUGGAUGAGGUAGGCGGAAUGUGGCAAGUAGCGGUGAAAUGCAUAGAUAUGCCACAGAACACCGAUUGCGAAGGCAGCUUACCAAGGCAAAAUUGACGCUGAGGCACGAAAGCGUGGGGAUCGAACAGGAUUAGAUACCCCUGUAGUCCCUGUCUCUUAUAC
RNAcentral lists this ribosomal RNA (301 nucleotides) under uncultured bacterium. Its description in RNAcentral is "partial 16S ribosomal RNA". It matches the Rfam family "Bacterial small subunit ribosomal RNA", at positions 509 to 807 of the family's 1533-position model. The record is from RNAcentral.